GCGCGAUUAGCUCAGUUGGUAGAGCAGUCCGUUUACACCGGAAAGGUCGGGGGUUCAAGUCCCUCAUCGCGCACCA
Molecule: transfer RNA, 76 nt
Filed under: Minisyncoccota bacterium
Lineage: Bacteria; Bacillati; Minisyncoccota
Description: tRNA-Val
Rfam family: tRNA
About the family: Transfer RNA (tRNA) molecules are approximately 80 nucleotides in length. Their secondary structure includes four short double-helical elements and three loops (D, anti-codon, and T loops).
Source: RNAcentral